This 257-nucleotide ribosomal RNA is filed under the name Escherichia coli. RNAcentral's name for it is "partial 16S ribosomal RNA". It matches the Rfam family "Bacterial small subunit ribosomal RNA", at positions 1 to 254 of the family's 1533-position model. Lineage: Bacteria; Pseudomonadati; Pseudomonadota; Gammaproteobacteria; Enterobacterales; Enterobacteriaceae. The record is from RNAcentral.
AAAUUGAAGAGUUUGAUCAUGGCUCAGAUUGAACGCUGGCGGCAGGCCUAACACAUGCAAGUCGAACGGUAACAGGAAGCAGCUUGCUGCUUUGCUGACGAGUGGCGGACGGGUGAGUAAUGUCUGGGAAACUGCCCGAUGGAGGGGGAUAACUACUGGAAACGGUAGCUAAUACCGCAUAACGUCGCAAGACCAAAGAGGGGGACCUUAGGGCCUCUUGCCAUCGGAUGUGCCCAGAUGGGAUUAGCUAGUAGGUG